RNAcentral lists this ribosomal RNA (303 nucleotides) under uncultured bacterium. RNAcentral's name for it is "partial 16S ribosomal RNA". It matches the Rfam family "Bacterial small subunit ribosomal RNA", at positions 507 to 807 of the family's 1533-position model. The record is from RNAcentral.
AGCAGUAGCCGCGGUAAUACGAAGGGGGCCAGCGUUGCUCGGAAUGACUGGGCGUAAAGGGCGCGUAGGCGGAUUGUUUAGUUAGGCGUGAAAUUCCUGGGCUUAACCUGGGGACUGCGCUUAAUACAGGCAGUCUAGAGUGAGGAAGAGGGUUGUGGAAUUCCCAGUGUAGAGGUGAAAUUCGUAGAUAUUGGGAAGAACACCGGUGGCGAAGGCGGCAACCUGGUCCUUGACUGACGCUGAGGCGCGAAAGCGUGGGGAGCAAACAGGAUUAGAUACCCCUGUAGUCCCUGUCUCUUAUAC